RNAcentral lists this long non-coding RNA (211 nucleotides) under Gallus gallus (chicken). The record is from RNAcentral. Lineage: Eukaryota; Metazoa; Chordata; Aves; Galliformes; Phasianidae.
GGCCGUCUUGCCGUAGAUGUCCAGGUCCCGCACCGCCCGCUUCUGGCUCAGCAUGACGUGGCUGCAGGGCAGCAGGUACCUGAGCACCAGCUGCAGCAUCACGUCCUCACAGUUGAGACUGAGCAGCGUCCGGAAGAGGCUCAGGGACACCAUGCAGAGCCGCGAGUUGCUAUUGAUGCGGCUGACGAGCGUGUCGAGGAUGGUGGCGUUG